Molecule: ribosomal RNA, 253 nt
Filed under: uncultured bacterium
Lineage: Bacteria
Description: partial 16S ribosomal RNA
Rfam family: Bacterial small subunit ribosomal RNA
Source: RNAcentral
UACGUAGGGUGCGAGCGUUAAUCGGAAUUACUGGGCGUAAAGCGUGCGCAGGCGGUUUGUUAAGACAGAUGUGAAAUCCCCGGGCUUAACCUGGGAACUGCGUUUGUUACUGGCAAGCUAGAGUGUGUCAGAGGGAGGUAGAAUUCCACGUGUAGCAGUGAAAUGCGUAGAUAUGUGGAGGAAUACCGAUGGCGAAGGCAAUCCCCUGGGCCUGCACUGACGCUCAUGCACGAAAGCGUGGGGAGCAAACAGG